This 35730-nucleotide long non-coding RNA is filed under the name Citrus maxima (pomelo). RNAcentral's name for it is "long non-coding RNA (CMAX_LNC002721)". Lineage: Eukaryota; Viridiplantae; Streptophyta; Magnoliopsida; Sapindales; Rutaceae. The record is from RNAcentral.
AAGACUAUUUGUAUAUAUAAGUUCAUAAUAUGAACAUUAGGUAUAUCCAAGAAAUGAAACUAAACAUAAUUCAACAAAAACCAAAAUGAAAUGCUGCCCCCGAUCUCAAGAAAUCAACGUUACGUAAACCCACCCAGUGAACUUGCGGCUCCUUAUUUGUAUCUAGAAGUUCUUGAUUCCACCAUUUGAAGAAGAGAACAGUUAUUGUGUGAGCUCUGCUUUAUCCCACUUUGACACUUUUCUUUUCCAAAAUAUUAUAUUAAAAUCUAUUUGUUAAUACAUAUUUCUUUCCUGUCAAGAUUGAACCAAGUGCAAUUCACAGAGGUAUGCCUAUUCACACACAGCAAACAAACAAAAAGUGAAAUGGGUUAAUCGAAAUGGUAAAUUUUCGGUAUCUCCACUCUAAUGCUUAAGUCAAUAAAGGCCUUGAAUUCAAGUUAAGUGAUGAGGUUUUGUUUAGAUAAGUUUUUUCUUACCUUUUUCUCCAUCGUUUUCUCCUCAAAUACCUUUUAAAAAUGGAGUGUGUGCAUUCAGGAGCGGGGGUCGUGCUUCUAUUUUUGUGCACUUGAUGGUUUCAUAGUCAACUUCCUCAACUACCUCAUGGUUUAACUGCUCUCUCCACCGGUAAGCAUUAUCCUUACAUUUUAGGCUUGCCAACUCUGUGAUUUUUCACCAAUUCGUAGCCUCUGUUGAAAAUUGAUUAAAAAAAAAAAAGUGAUGAACAAUAAUACAAUUUGACCACGCGGUGAAUAGUAAUACGGUUUGACCACGCGGUGAACAGUAACGCAGCACGAAUAGUAACACGGUUUGAAUAAUGAUAUCCAUUUGGUUAUAAAUAAGAGAGCCUUUCAUAAGUUUUGAUCAUCCCAAAUUUGAGAAGCAAGAGAAUGCAAGAGAAGUAUUGAGAGCUUCCAACAUGGGAGAGAAAUAUUCUUAAGCAAGUAUAUACAUUGUAAGAGUAUUUGGCUCCUCAAUAUGAGUACUAUGUGUUUGCUUUGUUAAGGGAUAUUUCUCAAGAUCAUGUAUUUGGGAUUUGGAUGAGAGAAAAUUAUUUUUAAAAAUAUGGUUGUAAAAAUUUUCUACAUAGUGAAUAUUUUUCUCUGGUUGUCUUUUGACAAUGGCCAUAAUUUUUCUUUGAAUUUAGAAUUUUCUACGUAAAUCUUGUGUUGUGUGAUUGGUAUAUUCUCUAUUUAAUUUUUUCUGUUAAUUUAUUGCUUGACAAUUGCUUGGAGUGAUCUUGAGAGGAAACUCAAUUUGUUAAUAGUCUCGACUCAAAACUUCUUGAUUUCCUCCCUCGAGGGAUUUGUUAUUUCUCCUCUGGUGGACCUCACCCCUUGAGGUGGUGUGAAUAUCAAUUUUCCCUAUCAACAUUAUUGCUAUUAAAAUAAAAAAUUUGUUCGAUUAUUUUUUACCUGCGUAAUAGAAAAUUCUAAAUUAUAUGAGUUUCUCCAAAAUAAAUAAAUAAACAGAGAUAAGAAAUCUCAUUCACUGAUCCUUUGCCCUUAAUUAUUAUUUGAAGUUAAAGUGACUAAAGAUGUGAAGUUCAUUCACACAUCGACAAGGUAUCAAUAUCACACAAAAGCCUUACUGCUUACGGUUACAGAUACACUUCCUUUUGUUGGUAUCAUUAUUCUGUCGUCACAUGUUAUGAAUAUCACUUGAAUCAUUUAUGGCAAACGCACUAUUCUAAAUUGACUCCAGCUGACCACUCGAAAGGUAAAAAAAUAAAAAUAAAAAUGGUGACUUAUUUCUUGUGCUGUAGAGUUGUUAUUAUUUAAAAUUGUGAGCCAUAAAUCGUCUUGAUCUGGGUAGGGUUAUUUUUGGGUCUUCCUUGGUUACAUUAUCUAUAAUUUUUAGAUUAUCUGUAUGCAACUUAGUUGCCUUAUAUUUCAUAAGCAUCAGACUUAUUCAAACACCCCAGAAUUUGCUGAUCUUUUAAAGAUUACCAACACAUAGCUUUAAAAUCCCAGGUCAUCACUGAUUGAACCCUUAUCAAGGGCAGAUGAAUUGUGUCAGCUUUGCUAUUUCUGGUAGAGCUAAUGAAAUUUUCAUCGUUUAGAUUUUGUUAAUGUUAAUAACAAGUGUUGUUAAUAGUUGAUCAAUUUUCAAUUAACACUCACAGAAAGAAGUUUUAAUUGCGUGGAUCAUGCCAUUUGAAUAUAUGGAAAGAGAAAUUAGAUGUGCUAAAUCACUAAUAUAGCUGGGGUGGUCCAAACUCUUAAUCCAUGAUGGUAAAACAACCAACUAAUGAGCAAAAUUGUAGGAAGCAAAAAUCAAUGCAAAGGAAAUCAAACAAGUACGAAUAAUGUGUCUAAGUGACUUCAUGUUUUAUAUAUUAUGGUUUGGCUGUAGCUUAAAUUACAUCACUGAAGUAUUUCAUAAAUAAUUAUUGUUAUAAUUUAAAAAUUAAGUUAAUUUUAUACAAAGACAUAUAUAAAGAGUGUGAAUUCAAAUAUAAGUUUUUCGUUUAAUUAACUCACGCCUUAUUGAAGCCGAUGGAAUGCUGCUUCUUUACAACUGAAACUAAAAUUUGGCUUAAAUUUAGAUUCGAAUGUCUUCCACUCCUACUCAUACUUUAUUAGCGCGAGACGCGAUUGAUUAAACUGCAGUUUCUUUUUUCUCUUGGGUGGGUUCUAAAGUUAUAACAUCAAAAGUAGUACACAAUAAAAUAAUAUGAGUUAACCUUUCAAAAUUUUAAUAGUGGAAUGGCGUGGCUGAAUAUUUUGAUAAUUAAGUUUGAAUUCUUUAUUAUUAUUAUUAUUAUUAUUGCAAGUAGUUAAGAAAAGUCACGACCGACAGAUCGUGACAACAUAUCUUAUCUGCGAUCACCGUUAUUAUAAAUUACUUAUAUUAUUGCUGGUACAGCUGUAUUCAUUUGGUCACCAACUAAGCAAAGCUUUCUUCAAGCGUACUCGCUUUUCACUAAUCAUAUCACAUCUCUCAAUUGCCUGCCCUUUUGCCAGAAACAGAGGACGCAUUAACAUUAACGCUGGUACCAUUUGUGGAACAACUCUCAAAAAUUCUAAAACGGUGACGUUGAACUUCCUUACGUGGGUUUUGCUCAAUCAACAACUCAUCCAACCAAAAGAAGUUUUACUUUCAUUCAAUUGCAAUUCCCAUUAGUAAAAUAUGUGGUUUUGAGUCCUUUGACAAAACCUGUAUGAGAUUAGAUAACUAAAAUGGAGGGCUAAAAGAAACAACCUAAGCUAGUAAUUCAGUCCAUACUAUGAUACCAUCCGGCCUAUCCCUCAUUGUAAAACUUGCAGAGGGUCAUCGAUGGGAGAAAAAACAAAAAAUAUGAUUCAAGCAAUGUAAUGUGCCAGAGGACCAUUGGAAUGGUACUAACCAAUUGAUGGCACUUCAUUUGCCGGUCACUCACUCUGAUUUUGGUUUUGAAGAUUUUCUUCUUGAUGUUUGAGAUCCACUUGUACAUCUCCCGACAAACUUUAGAACCUCAUCGAUCAAUACCACAGGGAAUGCAAUGGCCAAUACCAAGAGCCAUUCGUUAAAGCUUAAGGGCACGAUACCAAAAAUUUGAGCUAGGAAUGGCACGUAGAGGAUCAAGAAGUGUAGGCCAAAGGAGACGGACAUAGCCAAAAGGAGCCACGGGUUGACCCAUGGGGGCAUUGUCAAUAGGCUUCCAUCCUCAGAGAGGGCAUUGAGCGAGUUAAACAUUUCAAUGGCGACCAGCACAGAAAGAGAAAGUGUCAUUGCUUUUACUUUGCCGCCAUGGAAAUAAUCACAAGGGUUAUCAUUGAAUGUGAAAACCUGAUUCCCAGCUGUGAAGGGAGAAACGGUAAAAUUCCCCCAGGAUGGGCACUGGCCCCAGUUAGUGAGCUGGGAGUAUGUGACAAGGCUGUGACCGUCGCCAAUGAGAUUGAUGCCCAAGAAAGAACCAUGUGUAUACCAAAUGAUGAAAACACCAACCGUUGCUAUUCCAACAUACAGCCCGAUAACCUGUAAAGAGUAGAAAUACACGAGUUACAGAUGCAAGUAAACAGUAGAGAUCGUUUAAUGUUCUAAUGUUAGAGUUAAAUCACUUAAAACAUGCAGGAAACAGACAAGACAAUACCAGAUAGCGGAACAAAAUCCAAGCAGAAAUUAGUGAGUCAUCACUCCGACGAGGGGGUUUCUUCAUUAUGUCUUUAUCUGGAGGAUUGAAUCCCAAUGCUGUUGCAGGAGGUCCAUCCGUAACAAGAUUGACCCACAGAAGCUGGACAGGUAUCAGGCCUUCAGGUAUACCUAAAGCUGCUGUAAAGAAUAUAGAGGCGACCUCACCGAUGUUUGAAGAUAUCAUGUACCUGAGAUAGGUGUUAAAAACUCACUAAGCAUAAACUCAUGCAUUAGAACCUAGGACGGAAUUCCAGGAGUAAUAAAAUGUAAUAAUCAAGGUUUAAUAGUUAAACUCGGCUGACAAUCUCUUCCAAAGUGGUUAUAUAUGACUGGAAUAACAUGAUAUUAGCAGUCUAGGGUGUUGUUUGUACAGAACUACAAAGCUGGGCUCUGUAAACAUCAUCAUCCAAAGUCAUUACAUCAGUCACCUAUUUGGUGGAGUCAGCUAAACUAACCAAAUCUUGAUCAUAACUCAUUGGGGUCACUCAGCUGAGUAUUUACUAGAUUGGCUUCUUUUACCCAUAAAUGUUUCAAAGACCAGUAUUUUGGGUAUCGUUCUUCAGUCUAUGAAUCUUUAGAUCAAUUAUUAGUUGCUGCCAAGCUUAAAGAGCUGAUUUGGUUAUUCUAAAAAGAAAACAUCAUGUUGGCAUUACUUUCCAGAGAAAGUGAAUUUUUAUUACUCCAACAAUCUGGUUAUUUUCAUUAUUUCAACAUUAUUUUUCAAAGAAUAUAACAGCCACAAAUCAAUAAAUAUGUCCAUUACUGUUGCACAACAAAAACAACUAAUAAUUUGAGGGGACUACUUAGGAAAAGGGAAAAAGAAGAACCAACCAACCUGAUAAAAGCCUUCAUGUUGUUGUAAAUGGAUCUGCCCUCACCAACAGCAGAAACAAUGGUACCAAAAUCAUCAUCUGCCAAUACCAUGUCGGAAGCUUCCUUUGCAACCUGGAUGCAGAGAAAUGAUGAGAAUCAAUGGGGAAAAAAGUAGGGAAAAAUAAAAGUUCAAACUAUAGUGUAAAACUCUAUAAAACAGUGUAAUCAUCAAUGUCCAUCAUUCCCGCUAAGUCCCUGCUCAAACCACUUCAUAAUAGGCAACAUACGUCAGGUUACAUAGUUUGUACCAUUCCAGGUUAACUGAAAUAACAUGUUAUCCAACCAAAAGAAAAAGAAUUUCUUUAAUUACUUCUACUUCUAGAUCUUACAUAAAUCUCCAAAAUUAUAUAGCAAUGCAAUUUUCCCACUGAUUUGUUUGUUCUACUCAAAUGAGGGUGCCUUAGAAAGUAAUGUAACAUGAAGUUUGUCUGAAAAAUUAGGGAAAAAGAUAAACUACCUCGGUUCCAGCAAUCCCCAUGGCAAUUCCAAUAUCAGCCAGUUUCAGAGCAGGAGCAUCAUUUACUCCAUCACCAGUCAUGGCAACUACCUCCCCAUCUUCUUUAAGCAGUCUCACUAUCUCUUGCUUGUGCCUUGGUUCAGCCCUAGAAAACAAAAGCCCACUGCUUUGUCUUAAAUGGGCUUUCUUAUCAUGCAUCUCCAUGAACUCUUUGCCUGUCAAACUGUUCAAACUAAUGUCUUCAUUACGUUCAAAUACACCUAUUUCACGACAUAUGGCUUCUGCUGUGUUCUUGUUAUCUCCUGUAAUAACCAUAACACGAAUUCCAGCUGCUCUACAGUCCUCAAUUGCUUGAUGAACCUCAUUACGAGGAGGAUCCUGUGAAGAUUUAGAGAGAUAACUAUCCACAGUCAGCUCAUAAAUAUAAUCAAAUUACUAAUAGAACAAUUUAGAAACUAGAUAUAUUACUACUCACCCUAAGUCCAACCAAGCCAACAAAAGUAAGCCCGCACUCAAUUGACGCAUAGUUCGAUGGAUUAAGUAGAAGUGUAUGAGCUGGAUGAUCUUCAUUGCCAUCAUAAGUUUCAAAAUCAGGUAGCUCAUCUUUGUAUGCAAAACCCAAGCAUCGUAAUGCACCAGUUGACAUUUCAUGAAGUGCAUCUAAGAUGAGGUUCCUUGACUUAUGAUCUAGUGGUACAACUGAACCAUCAAGCAACUGCAUCUUGGUGCUCCUCUCCAAUACAUUCUCUACAGCACCCUGCCACAUCAGCACUUCAUGUAAGAACUCUCUAGAAUUUUGUACAAAUGCAUCAUCAUUGUUGUAGAGGAAAGUCCUCCUUUACUGGACCAUUUAUGUCUUGCAUGAUUUCACAAGGAGGCAUAAAGUUCCAAUAAUACGGGCAGGGAUGAAUGAAACAUAAAUUCCAUAAACAACUAAGAAAAACUAGGACCACAUAUAAAAUGAAUUGAAGUCAUGAGUUCAUAGACUACCAAUGACACAAUUUCACAAGGGGUCAAAGAAGUAUCACAAACAACCAAAAUUAACUUUGGUAGACAGAAUCAAUGUUGUGGUCUUAAACUUUGGCAACCUUCCAUUGUUUCUGAUUUUUACUUUAACCAUGAAUGAAAAGAAUGAAAAAAAUGAAAAUGCAAAACCGUGUGCCAUUAUAAGAACUGGAAUAAGCUAAUAGAUAUAGUGCUAUUGGGACAUCUAUAUUUGGAAAUACUGUUGCAUUUUUUUUUAUUGACCCUCAUUUAAGAAUGGAGGGGGAGCAGAUAGAGAGAGAGAAAGAUGGGGUGCGAUAGGGAAAGAGCACCUUGACGAACAAUGAUCUUUUCCCUGACCGGGAGUUGACAAUAACACCCAUGGACUUCCUAUCACGAUCAAACUCAAGAGUAGCAAUUCGACGUUCAUAUUCGUUCCACAUUCGGCAGCAACCUUAAUAACAUUAAACAUGAAAUAAAAGCAUGUAAAUUUUCUAGCUUCAAAAGUUUUAAUAGCAAGGGAAAGUUAGGCUAAUAACAUUAAACAUGAAAUAAAAGCAUGUAAAUUUUCUAGCUUCAAAAGUUUUAAUAGCAAGGGAAAGUUAGGCUAAUAACAUUAAACAUAAAAUAAAAGCAUGUAAAUUUUCUAGCUUCAAAAGUUUUAAUAGCAAGGGAAAGUUAGGCGAAAAAAUGGAAUUAUAUCAUGGUUUAACAUACUUAGAAUUUCACCACCAAUUCUUGAUUCGUAAUCUCUAGAUCCUUCGGGAAGCCCCAUUUUCUCAACUAGAACCUGAAAUGACAAGAGGACGAAUCCAAUCAAGAUUCCAAAGCAGCUACCAUUUCUUAAAUACUAUGGAUCAACUCCAAUAGAGAAACAAAAUAAAUUACCAUAUAUAGCAAACACAUAUUCUUCAAAUUGCAUCUGAAAAGUGGUAGUUCACUAUGUACUCAAGAGCAAAAGAAAAAAACAAGGCUAAGAGAAACAAUUGGAACAAUUAUCACCUUUGAUAUCGUAUAGCAUUGGUACAUGAAUAAAGAAAUACAGUAAAUCAAAUUCAUUAAACAGGGACAAAAAACUAUUUUUUGUAGCAAAUGCAUGCUCACUAAAUCACAUUAACCAAAAAAUGAUUCAAAAUUGAUCACAUGCAUGAGCAUAAACUUCAAAAGCACUAUAUAACAAAAUAACAAAAAUGCUUCUGUAGAAAGAUUCAAAACAUAACAGUCUCACCUUAAGAGCUGCCUCAGUAGGCAUUCCAUGAGAAACAUACUUAUUCUCUGAAUGUACAAUACCGGCAUCAUUACACACAGCAGCUAUUUUGGCAAUCAUUUGAAGAUUAGCAUCCAAUCGACCAGGGGUCCAAUCAUGUAUAUUUCCGUCAUAAGGACUAUAAGUGGUCCCAUCAACGUUAAAACUUCGCAACUUAUCCACUCCACCACCCACUGCUACAAGUUUUGCCACUGCCAUCUGAUUCGUAGUCAAAGUACCAGUCUUAUCAGAACAAAUCACAGUCGUACAACCCAAUGUCUCAACACUCGGCAGUUUCCUCACAAGGGCAUUCUUUUGAGCCAUUUUACGAGUACCGAGCGCUAAACAAGUGGUAAUCACAGCAGGUAACCCUUCGGGAAUUGCAGCCACAGCCAAUGCAACAGCAAUUUUCAAGUAAUACGUACAUUUCUCAAACGAAAACUUGAAAUUCCUCGGCCACCCAUCAACAUUCUCCCAACUUAGAAAAUACUUAAAAUUAAUUAACCAUACGAAAACACAAAUAAUUCCAAUCAUCUUCGUCAAAACCUCCCCAAAAUCAUUCAGUUUCUUCUUCAACGGAGUAUCCUCUUCGCUCUGCGAGGCAGCAUAAAUUUGGUUAUGCACUUUCCCAAUCUCAGUCUCCAUUCCAAUCUGCGUAACCAAGCACACACAAUUCCCAUUCACAAUAGUGGUCCCAGCAAAAAGCAUACAUUUUUUCCCUUGAAUAUCCGUAUCUAAAGGGACGAUCUUGUUCGUUUUGUUAACUGCCUCACUCUCUCCGGUCAACGAACCUUGUUCCACUCUCAGAGUCGAACUAAUCAACUCCACAACUCGCAUAUCAGCCGGCACUCUAUCGCCAACCUUAAGCUCAACAAUAUCUCCCGGCACAAGCUCCUUCGCGGGCAAUUUCGGAAUUUUACUGCCGUCGCGAAUCACCGAGGCGUGCUCUGACUGGAUCUCUUUCAAAGCUUCUAGAGCCUUCUCGGCGUUGUUCUCUUGCCAAACGCCGACGAUAGCGUUGAGGAUUAGAAUCAUGAAAAUCACUAACGGCUCCACGAACGCCGUUAUCUCCUUCUCCCCGCCUUCCUCGCCGUCGUACCAUGCUAAGACGAACGAGAUAACGGCCGCGCCGAGUAAAAUCCGAACGAGCGUAUCGUUGAAUUGUUCGAGGAUCAAGUUCCAGAUUGACGGCCCCUCGUGCUUCUCGAGUUCAUUCAAUCCGUAGAUCUUACGGCGUCGUUCCACCUCCGCGGAUUUCAAACCAAUUCUUUUUCUCACUCCAUAAUGCUUUUCGCAUUCGUCGACUGAUUUCGCCCAAGCCGGGAAGAUCUCGCGAUCCUCGCUCGUUUUUGCUUCACUUAUAACUUUCCGUAGCCCGUAGUCUUCGCCUCCUUUCCCCAUUCCAAAAUCUAACAAAAAUCAAAUCUGUUUUUGUUUGGAGGUCAAGAAAAAAGCGAGAGGAAACGAGAGAAAAUUUCAAUGAAAACGUAGAACCAAGUCUCUCUCUCACGCUCACACACACAUCGAGGUUUCUGCGUCCAGUGCUAUUCCCACCAAGUGGCCGCUGCAUAGGCGUGUCGCUGUCUAGUUUCCUUUAUAGCGUAAUUCUUUAAUCUGAUUAACUUCGUUUGGUUUGUGGAAUUAGUUGAAUUCAAAUAAAAUACAAUAGAAGGAUUAAGAUAAUGAGCAAAAGAAGUUUCCGAGUAACAACAUCCCACGGUUAUUUAAAUUUUCCGAAAAGCACCGGCUGCUAAUCGGUACUAAGACCGCUAUUAGAAGGAGAGGCAGCGGGUAUAAUUCAGCGAGGAAGUAGUUUUUUUCACGUGCUGGACAGCUGGCCAAUUGAAACGUACGUACGGCAGAUUUCGUUUUGUCGUAAUCACAUUUGAAUCCUCGAUUUUUACCUAAAUCACAAAUCAAAAUCUAUUUAGUUUAUACUUUAAUGACUUCUACAGCAAAUGAAGGAUCGGGAGUCCUUAAAGUUCUAUUUAGAAUUAAAAUUGAGUAAUUAAUAAUUGGUGAAAACUAAUUAUUAUAGUUUGAAAUUUAAAUUAAGUUAAUUUUGUAUUUGUAUAUGAAAAAUUUAUUAUAUAUUUAUUAAUUUUAUUAAAAUUAUUAUUUAAAAAUUAUUAUUUAAAAAUUAUAUUUAUUAUACUAUUAACUUUUAUUUAUAAUUAUAAUUUUUAUUAUACUUAAAAGUUGCAGUACUUAAAUAUCAAACAGAGCCUAAAUUAGGAGUAGAAAAAAUUUUCAAAAUAAAUUAGUAGAGUUUGUUGAUGAUUAGUUCAACAUUCGAUUGGUUUUUUAUUAUAUUCAAGUGUUGAAAAUGAGCUGAAAUAAAAAUAUAAAAAAUAUAAAACCUAUUUAAAUUCGAUAGCAAUUCACAUUUGAAAAAGGUGGUGACAUGUUUGAGUAAGUGCAUUUACAAGACAAAAUAAAUAAAUAAAUAAACAAAGUUGUAUGUAUUCUAUUUUGCCGGAGGCAUAUAGGAACGUAGGGAGAAAACUACAAAUUACGUUACUACUUACGAUUGCGUCAGAACUUAGAGACCUAUUCGUUAUUACUCCAUUUUGUCAUUAUUUCAGUUGGACAAAUGCAUUUGGACUGGAACGCUAUUGGUUUGAUGUCGUAAUCAUGGGUUUGUUCGUGUUGUUCCUUCCUUUGUUGCUUCGUCCGUGAGAUUUUAAAUAUUAUUUGAAGUACGUAGAGACGCAUAAUUUGUUGUUCCAAGUUUGAUGUUGAUUUGUAGACUUCAAUUAUGUCCGUGGAAACGCGAAAUGGACAGUUUUGAUAUUUUUUUUUUUGUUUUUUCAUACGCGAAGUGUUUUCCUUCUUUUUUUUUAAUUGCUUAUAAUUCACCAAGAUUUAUGAUAUAAAAUUUAGGGUAAAUACUUACUUAACCUUGAUAUUUUAAGUUAAAUAUUCGUUCAGUUUUUAUAUUUUACAUAUAUCUAUAGUAAAUUUAAGAAAUUUAUUGUGACCAACUCAAAAUUCCGUUUCCAUUAAUAUUUCAACAAAAAAUAUUUACCUUUGUCUAUACUCACAUUGUGACCUAUGGAUUUUAUAUUGCUGCCAAUGAGAUGAUGUCGCUUUAUUUGAUUUCUUUGUUCCUUCUCAAGAAUAUAAGUGAGCGAGCUUUUCAAGCAACAGAGACAAUUCAAUUUCCUUUUCAAAAUUAAGCAAUGACAACGACGAGGAUUUGACACACUGGCGAAGGAAACUUAAAAGGCAAAGAAUAGAAAGUCUGUAUUCAAUCUCAAGGAAACUUAAAACACAAGGCAAGUAGGCGACUCAAUAAUUGAACUUAAUUAAGGCUGCUGAAAAUGAAUUAAUAAACAAUAAUCUUGAGGAAAGUGACAAGAAAAUGCAAUGCUUUUUCGUGUGAUAUCAUUUGAUCCACGUACUUCAAGUGCAUUCCUAUCGUCUUUCUCAAGAUUGAUUACUUGCAAUCGAAUCCAUAUAUCUAUUUAGUUUUAUCAUACGUAUACACAUAUAUUAUAUAUACAUGUUUUAGUGACGCAAGGCGAAAGUCAUAUUAGAUAGAUUUCAUUCUAACGUACGUUUUUUAAAACUCAAGAAAUGAACUUUAAUAAAAGAAUAAAUAUCUCAAUUGAAAAAAUAUUGAAUAUUACUAAUGUGCAGCUUGUGUGUGUUACCACAAACUAUGGAUAACAAGCCUAUAUAUAAAUUAGUACCUAAUUUAAUCCUAAUCAUUCUCAAAUAAAAGAAAUAAUCUCAAAUUCUAAUUAGACUAGAAUUACAAAUAUGACUCAAAUAAACUUAAUAAAAUAAGAUAAACCCUAAUAAAAUAUUAAAUACCAAAUUGACCUAAAUAUUAUAAGUCCUAGUAAAUUCUAAUUUAUUUUAUCUAAUAUGCUUCCUACAUCAGUUAGCCUUGUAGGUUGAAAAUCUUGGUGUAGCAAAAGUAACCAAUUGUAUUUAAUAUCACACAUAUACAUAAUUUAUUAUUUAUUUAAGUUGAUAUUUUUUGAAUAUUUUAACAUUUUGUUCCGAAUUUAUGUAGUUAGAUAUUUAGCGGGAUGUAUUCUAGAUGAGUAUUGUUUUGGUUUUCAAAUAGAAUUAGAAUCUAAUACCAAUUUUUUGUGCUUAUUUUUUAACAAAUUUUCAGCAUAUAUGCAUUUAUAACUGUGUAUGAUUAAAAUUUAUUUACACGUAUGUUUUUAAUCCAAUAAUUAUAAAUCAUAACUUUCGAAAAAAUCAGUGCAAAAAUCAUAUCAAUGUUAAAUCCUCGUCCUUUCAAGCAAUAUUCCAAUAUUUGAAAUUUAAAUGAUGUGGUUUUUGAUUUGUUAUUAUCAUAUUGUUUUAUUAAUUAAUAAAAAUAAUUAAUAAUUUUAAGGGACAUAACAAGGUAUAAUUCAGCAGCCACAUCACUUAAAGAUCUAAACAAUAAAAUAUUAUAUGUGGGAACCCUAGCAUAGUUCAUUUUUUAUUAGUCCUAAUAUAUCACAUUUAGAGGCGAACCUGCCCUGGAGAAAAUCAUUAAUACACCUUAAAUUUUCUUAUUUUUUUCAUUUAAUAAUAUAGUGUUAUCUUAUUUUCAAACUUGUCGGUGAUUCAACUCUUUUUUCUUUUCUUUUCUUUUCUUUUCUUUUUCCAGCUAGAGUUAGGUAGAGACUUGUUUAUUAAAUAAUUUAAUUAUAUAUUUAUUGAAUAGAUUGAAAUCAUUAAUAGCUAAAAUGAUGUUACUACUUUCAUUUAGAAUAAAAAAAUAUCAUGAUUUAGUUUAAGUGAAAGAAAAAUAUGUCAAAAUAUUACAAUAUUAUCACUAGUAUUAGAAAGUUACAAAUUGCCAUUUAGUAAUUUCGUAGUUUAUUUCCUUUUACAGUCAUACUUGUCAUUUUUCUUUUUAGUAUAUUAAAUUAUUCAAAUAUUUCACUUCAUCUAUCAAUAAAAUAAAAAUAAUAAUUUUUUGGUACAAUUUCAAUAAUUUAUAAGCUUAUUUGUUGUAUUGUUGUUAUUUUUUUUUUAAAUAUAUGUAUUUUUCUUAAAGUUUUCUUAUCACUCUACUUGAUAUAUGUGUGUUUUUUAAAUCCUUUAUAUACACUGACAUUCUCAAAAAUAUUUAAGAUAAAUAUAUAAAUUAGUCCGGACUAAAAAAAGAGUCUUGGAUUCAUCCCUAAUCACAUUGUGAAUGUUGAACUCAGUUUCGAGAGCAUAUAACUUUCUCUGAAUAUGUUUAAAUUACAAUAUUAUCUAAGUAUAUAGGCCGAUGUUGGGUACUAAUAUCUAAAUAAAAAUCCUCUCAUCUCAUGAUUUAAACAUAUCUGAAUUUUUUUAAAAUAAACCUUUUGACAUAUAAAUAUUUUUAUUUUAAUAUACAUAAGAUUUAUUUUUUAUUAUAUUUUUAUUUAUUACCUACAAAAUCCGGUGAGUAAAAGUAAAAAUAUUCGGCUUCAUAGUCGACCCCUCACAGUACUCCAAAAGUCGAAGCUUGAUCCAAUACGUAUUCGUUUCUUUUCUUGUUCAAUUUUGUUAUCAAUGGUCAUAAGUGGAUCAAUAGUUUGAAAGUUGUGGCGAGCGGUUGUGAAUUAAAGAAGAGUUUUUGUGCUUUGAAUAAAUGUUUUCUGUGUUUCUGUUUUCAGUCUUCGGCUUUGUUCUGGGCUCUUCCAGUCCUUUUGCCUUUUUUGGAAUAUUUAUAUUUCUCGAGUUCUACGCUUCGAAGUUUCCCGGAAUGUUCACUAACAAAACCUUCUUACGCAAGACAAGGUUAAAAAGUGAAAGAAGUCAAGGAAGCAGUCAAGGUCCACUUGAUGUGGCUAAAGUUUGAUUCUCCAUCUGUCACUGUCUGAAAACACUAACAGCGGCUGGGAUUAGCUGAUGGCUUAUCAAACCCCACCAAUUAUUUAUUUAUUUAUUUUAUUUCAAUUUCAGAUAAAAAAUAAUAUUAAAAAAUAAAAUUUAGUUGCUUAAAAUUGUGGGUGGGUAACGGUUCGGCUCAAUUUUAAAUGGAAUUGAACCGUCUGUUUUUGAAGAAAUAAUAAAUUUUGAAACGGUUCAGUUUUUUCUAUUUUAAACCUUACUUUUCUUUUCUAAUAUUUUCAGUUUUUAAUUUUUCUCGUAUAAAUUGAUUGAUUUAUUUUAAGGAACCAAACCGUGGGUUAUUUUUCAGGACCUUUUUUUUUUUUUCGGUCCAUCAUAUUAAAGACAGCAGUUGAAGUUGAAAUCAUUGUCAUUUUGUUAGACUAUUUUGAAAGGAAAUCUUGAAAGUGAAAUUGCCAAAGAAAUAAUGAGAAAAACUAUAGUGCAACUGUGGCACGAUACCACAAUUGCAUCGUAGCCGGACCAAAAGAUAAUAAUACAAUAAUUGUUGUUAUAAAAGUUUAACUUGAAUGAUUUUUAAAGUUUUUUACCUGACAAUACUCAAAUUUUGAAAGAGAAAGAGUUAAAAAAGAAAAAAAAAGUCAUUGUGAUAAAUUAUAUACUCUUCUAUUGGUCGUUAAUGUCUAAUAUUACAAGAGUUGUACUUAAUGAAGAAAUAGAUGAGAGAAAUUUAUUCUCUCUCUAUCCACCAACUUUCUCUUUUAUUUUCUUAUUUAUUUCUCUCAUAUUUUCCUACACUAAACAUUUUUCCAUUAUAAAAGGUACUUUGGUUAUUAUUUGGAUGGAGUCGGAUCUUACAUGGAAAUCUUAUUCCAAAACAAAUUCAUCAAUUGCAUUUGAUUUAAGACAACAAAAACAGGCAGCAACAAAGAAGCAAAAGAGCCCAACAAGACCCGAAUCUUUAUGUAAGCGCUGUCGGUUGUUGUCAUUUGAUUCCAAUGCCCAAUACGAACAUGAUAGUGUUACAUUGGGGGAUGCCAAAUUAUAUUGCCGGUGGGGACAUGGCGGAUUGCUUUGGUCAAUUUAAAAAUAAAACCAAAUGGAUUAAAGUCAAAAUCGUGGGAAAAUUUUUAAAUCAAAUGGGAAGUGACUUACAGACAGCGAUUAAGAAAAAGUUGGAAAAUGAAAUUUGGGUUGACUAAAGUACAUAACAACAGAGGGUACAGUAAAAAGUACACAUGGAAAUUGGAGGAGCUUCCACCUAUUCAAAUUUCAAGCUUUUGAUUUAGAAAAUUUUGGGGCUGGUCUAGUAAACCGUCCAUCUCUAAGUCAAGAGCUGGGUCCACUAAUUUAAACAAAUUUAGGGCCCAGUUUGAUUAGUGGGUGAUGUGCUAGGUUUGGGUUAGCCUCACGCGACUAGGUUACCGCAUAUGUAAUUUGCAUCCACCUCUACAUAAUUUUUAAUGACCCCUUAGUUGUUUGACUGAUAACAAUUAAAUUCUAUAAAAAAAACUUACUUACAGGUCGAUGUAAGUUACAUCUUAGGGAGACCUAGACUUACAUUUAAAAAGUUAUCCAAAUUUUUUAUUAUUUUUUUUUCACAAGUAGAAAUUUCAUUUAUGUAUAAAAGGUAACAACGAAAUUAUGUAUAUCGCAUAACUUGCAUUUCAAAAUAUAUUACAUUCUUUCUUUUACUUUUUUUACAAAAAUACCUUUCUAAUAAUAUUCUUGACAUUAAUUUAUUUAUUAAUAAGAAAUUAAUUAACAAAUUAACCAAUACUUAUUUACUAAACAAUAAAUAUUGAUGUAAAAGAAUUAUUAUUAUUUAUUUAUGCAACAAGUUUACUAGUAAUUAUUUAUAAAUAAAAUUAAUAUCAAUCAACUUAAAUCAAUUUUUAUACAAAAAUACCCUUGCAAUAAAAUUCUUGGGAAUACCAAUAAAAAGAAAUUUUUUUUUAUCAAAUUGACUUAGAAAUAACAUAAAAAUUUACACAAACUUUUAUAUUAUUAUAAUUUUUUUUUUUACUUUUAGGAUUAACUUAGGAAAUUAUUUUUCUAUAAAAUAAUUAUUAGUAAGACUGCUAUAAGGAUGUUUGACCCACUCAAAUCAACCCCCACUCUUUAAUUAACAAAAAAAUAUUUCCAAAAUUACCUUUUAAAAAUAAAUAUAGUUUUUUAUUUUAAUUUUUGGUCUCUCUCAAAAUUCGUCAUAUUGAAUUCUUGAUCUUCUAAUAUAAAACGGCAAAGCCAUUAGUAAGAAUUAAAUCUGCAGUAAAAAUAUAAUGAUUUGUAUGGGGUUCAUAUCCGGAAAAACAAAAUAAAUUUAUAUCAUGGGGUUAUCAUUGUUUCUCUAAAUUCAUUUUACAGCUAAAUUUUCUUGCUAUUCAUGCAAGCAAACUUUUCAAUUGCAUAUCAGACUGCGAUGGUGGUGAGGAAAAAAAAAAUAAACAAAUUUUUUUUUACAUUUUAAGGAUAAUUUUAAAAAUAAAAUGAUUAAUUGAAUAACGGAAAAUAUUGAGAUCAAUUAAAGGAUCAAAUAUCAUUUCAACAAAAGUAUUAUUAUUAUUAUUAUUAUUAUUAUUAUUAUUAUUAUCAUCAUUAUUUAUUUUUUAAACUGGUUCAAAUAUGCUCUAUUUCAUUAUAUUCUUAGAACUUGAGUUAAACUUGAAAUUGUCACUCUCUUUGCACAAUUUAGGAGAGUAGGUUCGCAUCUCAAGGAAUUCUAUAUUUCAUAUUUGUCACGAGUAAAAAAAAAAAAUCUAGAAAUUGUAAAUGGAAAAUAUGAGAAAUUUGAAAUUACCUGCAAAAUGAUUUUAUCCAGUCAAGAUAAGACGGUGAUCAUUCAAGAUAACGAAUAGAUUCCUUUCAAGAUUACAGCUGGACAUGAGCUGACAGCAUUUUUUUUUUCUCUCUUUUUGAGAAGAACAGGAGAGCACGUUUUUUUUUUUUCAUUUUUUUCUUUUUUUAAUGCUAGGAGAGCACGUUAAUUAAACAAACAAACACCAAUCGACAAAAUUAUAAACGACAAGAACAAUUAUUUCAUUCAAGUUUAUGUGGUGAUAAUUCAAUAUAACAUUGGGGCACGAGGAGGAUGGUCAACAGACAAAUUACCAUCACAAUAAACGUGUCAAAUAAUUGCAGGUGCGCCCCGAAGAGAGGAAGAAUCUCCAAAUUAUAGGAUAAUGAUAGCAGAAUGGUAUUGCUUCAGAAGUAAUCUUGUAUUAAUUCUGAAUUUAUCCUGAGUACUGAAUUAAUGAUCAAUAAUUAUUUUACGUGGCCCUCAAAUAAUUGCUGUCUAUUUAUCUAAUGUUUAGGAUAAGCUCAGAUCAGCACCGGAUCCGUUUCCCAAUUUUUCUUCCCCAAAUUCUGUUUCUGUACACUGUAAGUAUUUUUCAUCCUCAUUUUCUUGUAUCCAUUUUGCGUUAUGUCACCAUUUAUUUUCAUAUCGACAUUUGGUUUCAAUUAGAUCACCGGAGGAAAUACGAUGGGAAGAACACAGAUCAUCUCAAAGAGCACCGUCUGUGCAGCAAUUCACAAGGAACCAAACCUUAGAAUCGAUUUAACUCCAUGGGAUCUUAAGCUCAUUCAAUUUGAUACCAUUCAGAAAGGACUUCUCUUCCGCAAACCUUCAGAGGAUAACACCGAUACCAGCAGCUUGAACUUGAUCCACCACCUCAAGACCUCCCUUUCACGUACGCUAGACUACUUUCCCCUCGCCUAGCCACCAUCGAGCAUCGUGAUCACAGCAACACAAUUUCUGUUUACAUAAAUUGCAACAAUGCCGGCGCAGAGUUUGUGCACGCCAUGGCCGAUGGAGUCUCUGUUGCAGAUAUCAUUUCACCUGUUUAUGUUCCUAAUGAAACUGUUUACUCUUUUUUCCCACUAAAUGGAGUAACAAACUGUCAGUGUAUCUCCGAGGCCAAGCCGUUGCUUGGGGUUCAAGUGACAGAGCUUGUGGAUGGAAUCUUCAUCGCUUGCACUAUCAAUCACUCCGUUGUUGACGGCACUUCCUUUUGGCAUUUCUUCAAUUCCUGGUCUGAAAUCUCACGGGGUUCUGAUUGUAUUUCAAAAGUUCCAGUUCUCGAACGUGGGUUUCUCUCUGAAUCAGAAUAUUUUCCCAUUCGCCUCCCUCUCUGGAGCAUUGAACCUUCCGGAACUCGCACUCCACCGCCUAAUUUGCAACAAAGGGUUUUCCACUUUACGAAGGAAAAAGUUGCAAAACUCAAAGCAAAAGCCAAUGCUGAGAUUGGUAGUACCAACAAAAUCUCCUCUCUCCAAGCAAUCCUUUCCCAUAUUUGGCGAUCUGUUACUCGUAAUCGAUCUCUUGAUCCUGAUGAAGAAGUUCAUUUCAUGUUAGGAAUGGGAGUUAGACAAAGAUUGCAACCACCACUGCCACCAGAAUAUUUUGGAAAUGCAGCUCAGGUACUGGGAGAGUUCGCAUCCAUGAAAGCGAGAGAUCAACUUGAGCAAGGGCUUGGAAAUGUGGCAUUGAAAAUGAACAAGUUCAUCGCUGCGUACACAGACGAAAAGAUAAAGAACUUCUUGGAGUCUUGGGGAAAAAACCCUGAGAUCCUAACAUGGGAUAGCCUGCCGACGAAGAAUAAUGCUUGCUUCGUAAGUAGCUCGCCGAGGUUCAAUUUCUACGGUAACGAUUUCGGGUGGGGAAGACCAAUUGCAGUAAGGAGUGGUCCAGCGAACAAGGCUGCUGAGGGGAAGAUCACCCUGUUUGCCGGAGUGGAAGAAGGGAGUGUCGACGUUGAAGCUUGCUUUUUGCCUGGGACACUGCAAGGUAUGGGAAAUGAUACAGAAUUCAUGCAAUUGGUAUCUUAAUUGUUAAAAAUCUUCCGUGUUCUGGGGCUUUGCUCAUUAACCAUUAUAUCAAUGAAAGCUUACUUUUAAAUACAUUUAGGAUUUCAAUUAAAAUAUAUCUAAUUUUGAUAUUUUUGAAAAAUAAAGCCAUGGUGAAAUAAUUGACAUAACAUCAAUAUUAUAUCAGUAGUUCAGUGAUUUUUUUUUUCUUUUUGGGUACUUGCACCUUGCUGAUAUAGACUUUGUAAAUUAUUUUGAAUGCUUAACAUAUUUCUUUUAAUGUGAUCAAUAAAAGUUUUAAAAGCAGUCUAACAAAUUAAUGAUAAAUAAAUUUGUUUCAUAUUAAAAAUAAUUCUCGAUGACUUGAUAAUCCUGUGAAGAAGUUCCUUUCGAACUAUCGAUAGGAGUUAGAAUAAGAUUGCAACCAUCACUGCCGCCUGAUGAAUAUUUCGGAAAUGCAAUUCUAUAAAGCGGGAGAUCAAAUUGAAUAUGCGGCACUGCGAAUGAGCAAUGUUAGUGAAACUGAUAAAAUGUGAAGAACAGAGGAAACGAGUACAUGCUGUAACUAGGGGUGGGCAUUUUACCCGACCCGACCCGACCCGAAAUUUAUCGGGUCGGGUCGGGAUCGAAACCUGAUCGGUUUGAAAUUUACAAACCCGAUCGGGUUGUGAUCGGUUCGGGUCAAACCCGACCCGAUCCGAAUACCCGAUCGGGUUCUUAAAAAAAAAAAAAAACGUACUGACCUGAAUUGACCUGAUUUCAACCGACCCGAACUGACCCGAAUUGACCCGAACUGACCCGAUUUCAACCGACCCAAAUUGACCCGAACUGACCCAAAUUGACCCGAAUUGACCCGAACUGACCCGAACUGACCCGAACUAACCCAAAUUGACCUGAACUCAAUCCUACCCAUUUUAAAUCCAACCCGAUCCAACCCGAACAUAGUUCGGGUCGGGUCAUUAAUUCGGGUUAUGUUCGGAUUGUUCCUUGUCUAACCCGAACAACCCGAAACCCGAUCGGGUUGACCCGAACCCGACCCGAACCCGAUUUUGCCCACCCCUAGCUGUAACUAUGUAUUUGACAGCAGCUGAAUAGCUCACUCAGCUGACGUGGCUUAGUUAGUUAUUUUGAUUUAAGCAUUCUUCACAUGUGUGUAACAAAUUGCCAACAAUUAGUAACAAGUUGCUUUCACUUGCUAUAUAUAUGUAUAAUCUGUACUCAUUCGAUUAAUGAGAAGUUUUUACAAGUUUCCAUUAUGAGUUUUUCAUUCAUUUUCCUUUUAACUUUCUCGCUUCCCAAACACAAAUACUUGAGUUUCUAUCAUGGUAUCAGAGCCAUCAAUGGUGUUGUAAAAAAUUUUAAUAUACUCGUAAGCGCACGAAUGUAGAAUAAAAUAAUGGUAAUAAGGUCAAACCCACAGGGAUUAUUAUAAAUUAAAAAGUCUAAUUUAAAUAAAUUAAUAUUAAUUCUAACAUAGUUGAACAAAUUGAGUUUCUAAUAAAAUUUAACCAAUUAAACUAAGAAAACAAUUAAAACAAAGGAGAAUUUAAUAAGACAAAAAUUACUAAGGUUUCAGAAUCCACCACUAAUCAACUAGUAAUUACCUAAUUAUUAAUUAAUCCCCAAUUUUAGAGUGACAACUCGAAAUCAAUUUAUAUCAUCUCAUGGAUAUAACAAUUAAGCCCAAAUAAAAUUAUUCUUGUGUUGGUUCUUUUUCUUCUUAAUAAUAUGAUAUCUAAGCAUCCCAUGUAAACAUAUUGAAUAACAAAGAGUCAAAGUUUUCCGAAGCACUCUGUGUAAACAAUUUAAUGAAAGACACAGAAUCAAAGAUAAUCAUGUAUAAACUUUAAAGACUCAAGCAUAAAUUUAAUCGGAUAUUAAUUGUAACAAUCAAUAAUACAUGACAGAAUUGAUGAAAAAAUUUUAAUGCCCUUUUUAUCCUUAAUCUUUAUUCCUUCCCAAUUUGAACUUCUUCAUGCCCUUUUUAUCCUUAAUCUUCAAUUAAUUUCCUAUUCAAUAAAAUAAUUCAAUUAAUUAAAAAUAACAAAUAAAAAUAACUAGUAAAUAUGUAAUUACGGGUAAAAUAUGUAUAUAAAUUAUGAUCAUCAAAUGGCAAGCAUGAUUCAAUCCAAUACAUCCUCCUCUCCUUCAAAUAAUUCCCUACCUCAUAUCAUUCCUGCACCUCCUCCCAUUGGUCAUCCUAUGAUGACCAGAUCCAAGAAUGGCAUAUUCAAGCCAAAGUCUUAUCUAUGUGCUCUUUUAGCCUAAUCAUUUGAACUUUCCUCUGUCUCUCAAGCUUUAUCUGAUCCAUUAUAGUUCAAAACCAUGCAAGAAGAAUUUCAAGCCUUACAAGCCAAUCACACAUGAGACUUGGUACUACCUACUGCUCCUGUUAAAGUGGUUGGUAACAAAUGAGUUUUUAGAAUAAAAUACAACCCUAAUGGGUCAAUACUAAAGUACAAAGCACGACUGGUUGCUAAAGACUUCCAUCAGAUACAUGGUCUUCAAUUUUACAAUUGUGGAGCUAUGCAGAUCAACUCUUUUACAUAUUCAGAUUGGGCUUGUGAUCGGGAUGAUAGAAAAUCAGUAGUUGGUUUUGCUGUUUAUCUAGGUGCCAAUCUGGUUUCAUGGUCAUCCACGAAACAAUUAGCUGUCUCAAGGUCCAGUACAAAAGCUGAGUACAGAGCUUUGGCUCAUGCUGCAUCAGAGGUCAUUUGGAUAUAGUUUUUACUUGCUGAGCUAAGAAUUCAACUAAGUACUACACCAAUUAUGUGGUGUGAUAACCAGGGAGCAAUUGCCUUAGCUUAUAAUUCAGUUUAUCAUGCUAAAACAAAGCAUGUUGAGCUGGACAUUCAUUUCAUCAAAGAUAGAGUGGGAUAAAAAGAAAUAGCUAUUUUUUUUGUGCAUAGUGAAGAUCAAACAACAAAUGUCUUAACUAAGGCUCUUACUUUCACUUAGUUCCAUUGCUUGCGCAGUAAAUAAAAUGUUUAUCCCAGAAACACCAGUUCCAGAGGGGAUAUAAGUAAAGAUGAUAAUUUGUGAAGAAUAAAAGAAUGGAGUAAUGUGAAAAGCAGAAACUCCAGCUUAAGAGGGGAUGUUAGUGAAACUGAUCCCUUGGAGUCCUGGAGACAAAACCUUGUGGUCUUAACAUGGGAAAGCUAGAAGACGAAAUCUUAUUGGUUUCCAAAUAGUUCGUCGAGGUUCAAUAGCAAUGAGAAGUGGUCUAGGGAAUAAAGCUUAUGGAAAUAUCACUUUGUUUACAGGAGUGGAAGAAGGUAAUAUCGACAUUGAAGCUUGCUUUUUACCGGAGACACAAUAGGGUAUGGGACAUGAUACAGAGUUCAUGCCAUCUACGUGUUAACGUCUUUGGUGAUCCUAAAAUAUUACUUUCUAAUAAUUCAUUUACACGUUAUCACGUGUAAAUGAAUGGUAUCAUAAUUAGUUAAAAGCACACAAAUGAUAAAAAGUGAAUUCAUUACUAUAACUAUGCUUUAUUUAGGCACCUCAUGCAAUAAAUUAUUUCAUCUCAAAACUCAAUUUAAUAAUUAAUCCCAUGAACAUCCAUUCGUUAGAGCAUGACAACAAAAUUUCUGUAUGGCAUCUGUGGCAGAGCAUAAUAGCUGUAGAGAAAUGGAAAUUGAAAGGAAGGAGCUGGUAGCUUAUAACUGUGAUUCAAGUUUUUGCUUUAGAAUCUUUCAGAAAAAAAAAGUUUUUGCUUUAGAAAUUUUUUGACUCGACCUAGUAAACUGGUCAAUACCUCACGAGCUCAUUAAACUAUCAAAUUUGGGGCCCAAUUUGAUGGGCCUAGUUGGUUGCAGUGUUGGGUCUAGUUAGUCUCAACAAAUACUGGUCGUAGCCUUGUAGGCAGUUCGCAUUAGAGAUUUAUGAUGAUUGUAAUGUGUGAAUGAGUAAUAGAAAGCUCUAUUUAUUGGCACAAGGAGUAACCUUUGUGCGGUUGUGCAGAUAAAAAGAGAAAACAUGUAGUGGGUAAUAUGAAAUUAACAGUAAUAUGUUGUUAUAAACACGAUUAGAAAACUCAUGAUUUAAGCCAUAAAAGCCUUCAACUCAACACCAAAGUAUUCAGGGAACUACACUCAUGGUUUGAAUAGAAAUGCACAACCAUGGUUCUAAUACCAAUGGCUAAAAUAAUUUUAAGCUUUACGGCAAUGAAUCCAUUCAACAUAUUUCAUAAGGGAGAAAAACUGCAUUUUAUCUUGGUUGGCCAUGAAAAAGACUUGCUGGUCAGCUUGUUUCUUGCCCGUUAAUUCAACCUUUUGUUCUUGGCUUCAAUCUCAACAGCAAAAUCAAGCUCCUCAUUCACUGCACACACACACAAUUAGGAGAAAGGAGAAAAAGAAAGACAGUGUAUAAUGAAACUGCAUUUUAAAGAAAUGUGUAGAAAACAAUCAAAACCUUUACAGAAUUCUUAGUAUUUUUGUCAACACAAUACUUCUUCUUUUAAAGACAUUUAUGCCAUAGUACAAAACCUUAGCCUACAAGAUUUGUACACACAAAAUGAAAAAAGAGCCAAGUAAUUCAUGAAUAAAAAACAUAGAGCAAAGAAGGGAUAAGUAACAUAAACACGCACACAAAAUUGGCACAGAUGAACAAAGAACGAGUUGCAAGCUCUUUAUUACCGAAAGAAACGAGCCCCAUAUCAUAUGAUCUCCCUACAAGCUUUACAACGAGCUAUCAUAUGCUUUCUAACUCUCAAAGAUUAACAAGUUACAGGCCUUAGAAAUUGCCCUCGUAAAUUCAUUUUAAAGCUAAAUUUUCUUACUAUUCAUGUGAUGAGCAUAUACUAUAUACAUAUUUUACCCUUAAUUAUAUAAUUACUAAUUAUUUUUAUUUGAUAUUUUUAAUUAAUUAAUUAUUUUGUUGAAUAAAAAAUUACGUGGAGAUUAUGAAUAAAAAAAGGGCAUAAAGGAGCUCAAUUUCGGAAGCAUUAAUUAAUUGAUUUUCGGAGCAAUUAGGCAUAUUUGCAUGUGAAGCCAAGCCAAGGAAACCAAAUUAAACAAAUUAAUUCAUCCAUGCACAUGAAGACAAAGAAGAUUAUGGCCAUCACGUGAGAAGCAAUCACCAUUAUUGUUAGCAUGUGCAUGUCAUUAAAAAAGGAAUUCUAAUGCAAUUCUAAGUGGUGAGCACGUGUGAGAGCAAAACAAAUUAAAAGGCCAAGCCUUUCGGCUUUAGAAUUGGAAUGGUUGGUGGCUCAUUUUGGAGAUUAUAAAAAGAAAUAUGAACUUUGGCUUUUAAGAGGCCAACCGCGAGAAGAGAAAAAAGAGAGCAACGUUAGGCAUUCGGCAGAGGAGAAAAUAGCGGCAGAAGCUCUUUAAUUCUUUUAUGGUUGGUUUUAUUUUAUUUGUUGCUCUCAAUUCAAGUAUGUCUAGCUAAUUUUCUUUUACUGAGGUUAAAGAUGAAACCUUAUUCAAUGAAAUAAUUAUCUUUUUAUUUAAUGAAUUCCUUACAUGCGUGUUUUAAUGUUUAUGUUUUUUUAUUUUACAUGAUUAGUUGGAUGUUAUUAAAUCUUUUCAUCAAUUCUGUCAAGCAUUAUUGAUUGUUAGGAUUAAUAUUCAAUUAAAUUUAUGCUUUGGUCUAUAAAGUUUUUAUAUUAUUAUCUUUGAUUCUAUAUCUUUCAUUAAAUUGUUUACAUAGAGUGCUUAGGUAAAUUUUGACAUUUUGUUAUUCAAUAUGUUUACAUAAAAUGCUUAGAUAUCAUACUAUUAAGCAGAAAAAGAACCUACAUUAGAUUUAAUUACUUGGGCUUAAUUGUUAUAUUCAUAAGAUGACAUAGAUUGAUUUCGAGUUGUCACUCUAAAAUUGGGGAUUAAUUAACAAUUAGAUAAUUACUAAUUGAAUAGUGGUGGAUUCUGAAACCUUGAUAAUUUUUGUCUUAUUAAAUUCUCUUUUAUUUUAAUUGCCUUAGUUUAAUUAGUUUAAUUUAUCAUUGCCUUAGUUUAAUUAGUUUAAUUUAUCUUAAAACUUAAUUUGCUCAACUAUUUUAUAAUUAAUAUUAAUUUUAGAUUUAAAUUAGACUUUUCAAUUUAUAACAAUCCAUGUAGGUUUGACCUCAUUACCACUAUUCUAUUUUUAAAUUCGUGUGCUUGCAAGUAUAUUAAAAUUUUUCACAAUAAGUUUUUGGCGUCGUUAUCAGGGAUUGUGCCAAAAAGUCAGUUUAAUCUAGAUUGAUUUGAUUUUUCCACUAGUUAUAAUUUAAGUUGUCUUUUAUUUUUAUUUUAUUUUAUUAAUAAAAAACACAAAAAAUAUUUAUUUGUCUUUAAAUUUAUUGUUUGGUUGUUUGAUUUGUUAUAUUUUAAAUUCCGUUUAUUUUUAUUAUUGUUGCUUUAUUUUCCUUUCUUUGUCUAGUUAGUUUAUGAGUGUUUGGGAACGCGAUUCAACAAAUCGUUUGGUAAGAAAAGAGUUUAAAAUUGAUAGUAGUCGAGUUAGUUCUUCAAAAGUGAUGGAUGACCCAAAGAGAAUAUUGUCAGUACUUCCACCAGUGCAAACAGAGAAAAUCCUUAGAGAAUAUUUUUCACCACUUGCAGCCAACCAACCAUCUUGUAUUAUGUUGCCACAGACUACAGCAACACACUUUGAAUUCAAGCCCUCUGUCAUUUAGCUUUUACCAUCUUUCCAUCAAAAUUUUAAUGAUCAGUCAAUUAGGUUUCGUAUGUUCCCUUUCUCAUUAAAAGACAAAGCGGAAGCUUGGUUGAAUUCACUUCCUGCUGGGUCUAUUACUACAUGGGAUGAAUUAAGUAAUAAGUUCUUUACCAAGUUUUUCCCUAUGUCUAAAACAAAUGUCAUUAGGAGAGAGAUAAAUGAUUUUUGUCAAAGAGAGGGUGAACAAUUUUAUGAGUGUUGUGAAAGAUUCAAUGAUUUACUCCUCAAGUGUCCCCAUCAUGGUUUUGAGAAAUGGAGACUUAUACAGUGCUUUUAUAAUGGUUUAACUAUAUCAAAUCAUCACAUGAUAGAGUCUAUGAAUGGUGGGAGAUUUUUUAAUUUACAUGAAGGGGCUGCAUGCGAUUUCUUUAUUUUACUUUUUGAGAAUUCUCAACAAUGAGAUUUUUCAAAUCAAAGAAAAAAAUGAUCUCAAGUUUCUAGGAAAGUCUAUAUGAAGUUAAUGAUGAUUUUGAUGUUAAGGUCAUUCUAGCUACACUUUCUAGGAAAAGUAGAUGCCUUAACUCUGAACCAAUCAAUGAAUCAUCACCCUAGUGUACCUAAUGAAGUUUGUACUCUUUGUUCUAACUUGUCUCAUACAGCACAUAAUUGUCCAUCAUUACCAGCCUAUCAAGAGGCUUAUUCUGAGCAGGUACAUGCCUUACAAUCAUAUGAGAAAACCCCCAAUAAUCCAUAUUCACCCACAUAUAAUCCUAAUUGGAGGAACCACCCUAAUUUUUCUUUGAAACAAAGUCAGCCUUUAUCAAACCAAGGAGGACAACAAUUCAACGUACCCAAUCAACAAUUUGUCCUUUCUAACCAAGUAUAUCCUCCUGCCCAACAGCCUAUGUCUCAAUUUGUUACACCUUAGCAAAGAAAAUGUUCUUUAGAUGAUACACUUUAAAGUUUCAUUCAGUUAACCCAACAAGCUUUUCAGUCAAACACUCAAGCUAUUCUAAAGCUUGAACAUCAAUUGGGUCAAUUAGCAACUGCUGUGGCUGAGAGAAAAAAAGGAAAAUUCCCAAGUCAACCAGUUCUUAAUCCUAAAUGAGUGCAUAAAGUUGGAUCAACUUCAAGCCAUCAGUAUAAAGAAGCAAAAUCUAUUAUGACCUUGAGAAAAUGAAAAAUAUUUGACAACAAGGUGGAGGUUCGAACAAGAAAGACAUCUGAACCUACUUCUGCAGAUCCAGUUCCAUCACAAGACUCAUCACUAAAUGAUCCAGAAGAAAGUAAUCCACCAGCUUACAUUCCUAAGGCUUAUUUUCCUUAAAGGUUAACAAAGGUAAAGAAAGAGACUUCAACAUGUGAGAUUAUGGAAAUCUUCAGGCAUGUAAGUAUAAGCAUCCCUUUACUCGAUGUUAUUAAGCAAGUUCCUCAUAUGCCAAGUUUUUGAAGGAUUUAUGAACUAAAAAAAGAAAUUUGCAUGUCACCAAAAAUGCAUUUUUAACUGAACAAACUAGCAAUUUACUUCAAUAUAAAAUGCCACCAAAAUUUAAGGAUCUAAGUUCCCCUACUAUCUCAUGUGUUAUAGGGAACCAAUUGUUUGAUAAAGCAUUAUUGGAUUUGGAUGCAAGUGUUAAUCUCUUGCCUUACUUUGUUUACAUGCAGCUUGGAUUACAUAAAUUAAAGUCAACUUCCAUUAUUUUGCAACAUGCAGAUAGGUUAAUGAAAAUACCUCAUGGUAUUAUAGAGGAUGUGUUGAUACAGAUUGAUAAAUUUUAUUAUUUUGUUGACUUUAUUGAUAUUGAUACUCAGCAUGUACAGGAUCCUAAGAAACACACCCCAGUUAUUUUAGGUCGUCCUUUCUUAGCUACAGUUGAUGCUCUUAUUAAUUGCAGGAAUGGAAACAUGCAAUUAUCUUUUGGUAACAUGACCAUGGAAUUAAAUAUUUUUAAUGUUCCUGAUAACUCUAGGAAAUGAGAGUUAUUACAUCAAUUCUAAACUUAAAUCAAGAUCACUUAGAGAACAAAUAAGGUGUUUUUAUUACAUUUUGGUUAUAUUUUGCAUAAACAUUCAUUUUAGUUAAGUUUUAAUAAGUUUUGUUUGAAUCAAAGUAAUUGGUGCUAAAAACAGGUGCAUAAUUGUAGCUUUUCAGAAAGUCUUAAUUCAUGAGAGGAUGGUGAGACAUUAGAUGAGCAAGAGGAGGAAAGAAGAUAGCCGCAAAAGAAGAAAAGCACAAUGGGGAAUAGUACAGUAUUGUAGCGGAUGUUAAAGCAACCAGUGCUAUAACAAUCUUGGAGCAAUGCUGGAGAAAAUUCAGGCGCGGGUCAGCUGCAGAAUCGCGAUUUGCAUGUUUCCUAAUUUAACUCAUGCACGCUUAUGGACUUUUAUUUUACUCUAGUUUGCAGUAUAAAAGAGAGGCGUGCACCACAUAGAGAGGCGACAAGAGGAAUUAUCAUAAAAAAUCAUUAGAGAGAAAAAGAGAAGAAGAUCAGAAUUGAAGAGUGUUGUUUCGGCAACAUUGAGGAAUCUGGUAGAAUUAUUCGAAUUUGUCUUUCACUGUGCUCAACUGAUAUUUAUCUUCCUCCUUUGAUUGUUUUAAUGUAUCCCGUGAACAACAUAUUUUUGUUUGUUUUUCUUAUUCAGAAUAUGAACUAGAUUUGCUUGUAGUUGAGUGACAAACAAUCCAAUGGGUUCUUGACUGUUCUUAUGUGUUGUUAUGUCAUUGCUGUAGUAUUAUACUCUAAUAGUUAUUAUUAAUAUAACUGUUAUUUCGGUUGACCACCCAUUUAAUAGUUCCAGUUAAGAUAGAGCAGUAAAAGUGCAUGUCUUAGCGGACAUUAUUAGAAUAUUACUUGAUCUUAAGUUAAGUUUCCUAGAUUAAGUUAUCUUGAAUCCCAUAAGGGCAAUGACAUAACAACACAUAAGUGCUCACCUUGUAGGGUGGAGAGAUAAAAAUGGAUCAUAAAGCCAUAUCAUGAGUAGAUUAGCAACUGGUCAUUGCUAGUGUAUUUAAGGGUAUGAGAGUUCCAAUAUGCGACAGCUGAGGAUGCAGAUUAAUUCCGCCCAGUGCUGCAGCACUUGCCGUAACAAUUGGAGUCCACUUGAUGAAAAACAGUCAGCCCAUAAGGAGAGUUUGAUCAUUCAACUACCAUGUUCUUACUUGAAUCUUAGACACAUUCAGUUUAGUUUAUUUCAUUGUGGUUUUGUUUAUUUUAUUCUCUCACAAUAAUUAAUUACGAUAGAACACAUUUUACGUUUGUUAACUUCGGAUUUGAAUUAGUUUGCACUAUUGUGAUUGCUACAAUAUUUUUGGUAACAUCAAUCCCUGUGGAGACGAUCUUGAAUACUCAUCACUUUAUUACUUGUUGUGUACACUUGCACAUUAACAAUAAUAGCAUUUGAUUAUAAAAUCAACCAAUAAGUUUUUGGCGCCGUUGCUGGGGGUUGAUUAUUUAUUUUUGAAGUGUGAAGUAAAUCUUGAUAGCACCAAAUUUGAUUUAAUUCAUUCUAUUUAUUGGCAGAUCAAUACUUGCAUGCGCAAAGACAGAUCUGUGAUAUUUCAGUUCGAUCCUGAGAUUGAAAUGACUGUUAGGAGAUUGCGAAGAGAACAAAGGAAGUCAAAAACUAUUUCAAGCAUGAAUAAUUUACAGGAUGAGGGAAAUUGAACCCUGACGGGCCCUUAUAACCAGUUAACAUUCAAGAAGAGCAGAAUGAACAUGCUAACGAGAGACAACCAGGCAAUAAUAAUAUUAUUUACAUGGCUAAUGACAGAGACAGAGCUAUUAGAGAUUAUGCUGUGUUAACUCCUCAAGUUGUACACCCUGAGAUAAUCAGACCUGAAGUAGAAGCUGUAAAUUUUGAGUUGAAGCCAGUGAUGUUUCAAAUGUUGCAAACAGUUGGUCAAUUAAAUAGAUUACCAAAUGAAGAUCCUCAUCUCCAUCUUAAGUUGUUCUUGGAAGUGAGUGAUGCUUUCAAGAUUGCUGGAGCAACACAAGACGCCUUAAAGCUGAGACUUUUUCCUUAUUUCUUAAGAGAUCGAGCAAGAGCAUGAUUCGUUACCAUCUGAUUCCAUCACUACAUGAAAUGAGUUGGCUGAUAAAUUCCUAAUGAAAUAUUUUCCACUGACAAAAAAUGCAAAGUUGCGGAAUGAGAUAACUUCUUUUCAUCAACUUGAAGAUGAAAGUUUGUACGAGGCUUUGGAAAGAUUCAAAGAACUGCUCAGAAGGUGUCCUCAUCAUGGCAUUCCUUGUUGCAUUCAAUUGGAAACUUUCUACAGUAGGUUGAAUCCAAGUACAAGGUUAAUGGUGGAUGCUUCAGCAGAUGGAGCCCUGUUAUCCAAAUCUUACACUGAAGCUUAUGAAAUUCUGGAGAGAAUUGCCAAUAAUAAUUAUCAGUGGCCAUCAACCAGGCAACCAGCAGUAAGAGGAUCAGUAGGGGUACAUAACAUAGAUGCAAUUACAACCUUAUCAGCACAAGUAACCUCAUUGACUAACAUGGUAAAGGCCAUGUUCUCUGCUCCAACAGUAGUGAAGCAAGUUGCAGAACUUUCUUGUGUAUACUGUGGUGAAGGACAUGACUUUGAUAAUUGUCAUGGAAAUCCAGCAUCAGUAACUAUGUGGGUAAUUUCAAUCGACAGCCUCAGAACAACCUAUAUUCAAAUACUUACAACCCUGGAUGGAAACAACACCCAAAUUUCUCAUGGAGCAGUCAGAAUCGAAAUGCUCCAGCAGUAAAUGGACAAAAUAUGAACAAUCAACCAUCUGGAUUUCAUCAGCAGAGUCAGGGGAAAAAACAUAGCAAUCAGGAUCCAAUCAUUUCACUGGAAGCAUUGAUUAAGGAGUACAUUACAAAGAAUGAAGCAAUUGUGCAGAGUCAAGCCGUAUCCUUGAGGAACCUGAAAAAUCAAAUGGGACAACUUGCCAUAGCAAUGAGUAGCAGGACUCAAGGAAGUUUCCCUAGCAACACAGAAGACCCUAGGAGAGAGGGUAAAGAACACUGCAAAGCAAUUAAUUUGAGAUCUGGAAAAAAUGUUAAUAUCCUAAUUGAUGUGAUUAACAAGGGUAAGAAAGUUAAUUCCUCACAAAAACCACCUCAAGAUGGAAGCAUGUUACAACAACCCAACCAUCAAAACACUAGUUACAUGGGCCAAGCUACAGCAACUGCAGAGGGAGUUCAAUCAGAACAUGUUGAAAAAGAAGUUGCAACACCAGUAGCCACGGCCUACACCAAGCCAAACAAACAGAGUUUGGUACCUCCUAAAGCUACCCAGCAGUUUAGACAUCCACCACCUUUCCCACAGAGAUUCCAGAAGCAAAAAUAAGACAAACAGUUCAGUAAAUUCCUGGAAGUGCUGAAGCAAUUACACAUAAAUAUACCUUUUGUGGAAGCCUUGGAGCAAAUGCCAAAUUAUGUGAAAUUUCUAAAAGACAUCUUGGCACGAAAGAGAAUGCUGGGAGAGUUUGAAACUGUUGCUUUAACACAGGAAAGCAGUCAUAUGCUCCAAAGUAAGAUUCCUACAAAAGUGAAAGAUCCAGGAAGUUUUACAAUAUCAUGCUCUAUAGGAACUAGGUAUACUGACAGAGCACUUUGUGAUUUGGGAGCUAGUAUUAAUUUAAUGCCAUUACCUGUAUUUAAGCAGCUGGGAGUAGGGGAAUACAGACCAACAACAGUCACUCUGCAAUUAGCUGACAGAUCUCAUGCAUACCCUGAAGGAAAAAUUGAGGAUGUACUGGUGAAGGUGGACAAAUUCAUCUUCCCAGUAGACUUCAUUGUACUAGACUUCGAAGCUGAUAAAGAGGUGCCCAUUAUACUUGGAAGACAUUUUCUAGCAAUUGGAAAGACUUUGAUAGAUGUGCAGAAAUGAGAGCUCACCAUGAGAGUAAAUGAUCAGCAAGUCACAUUUAAUGUACUAGAGGCUAUGAGAAGUCCUGAUGAAGUAGAAGAUUACAAUUUCCUAAGUGUUGUGGAUUUUGUUGUAACAGACAGAAUGGACAGAUGCUGCAGUAAUGAAAUCAACAAAGUCACCACCUUUGAGAAUGUAGAAGAGGAAGAUGUUGCAGAAAAUCAGAUAGAUUGGAUGAAAGAAAAGAAAUCUGAUAGGCACAACAGGUUUAUUGAGCAUCUGAAUCUUUCAGACAGGAAAGUAAAAAUAACUUUACCAUAUAUUGAAUCACCUCCUAGUCUUGAAUUAAAAUUGUUAUCUUCACAUUUGAAGUAUGUUUAUCUUAGUCAAAACAACACACUCCCUGUGAUCAUUUCUUUUACUUUGGAUACAGGUUGAGAACAGAGUUUAGUAGAUUUGUUGGGAAAAUACAGUAGAGCAAUUGAAUGAACCAUGGAAGACAUCAAGGGGAUAAGCCUAUCAAUAUGCAUGCAUAAAAUCCUGUUAGAAGAUUGCUACAGCAAUUCGGUGGAGCACCAGAGAAGGUUGAACCCUAUUAUGAAAGAAGUGGUGAAGAAGGAAACCAUCAAAUGGUUAGAUGCUGGACUCAUAUACCCAAUAUCAGACAAUUCGUGGGCGAGCCCAGUUCAAUAUGUUCCAAAGAAGGGAGAGAUAACUGUGAUAGCUAAUGGGAGGGAUAACUGUGAUAGCUGAUAAGAGAGAUGAACUUAUUUCUACAAGGACAGUGACUGGAUGGAGAGUAUGUAUGGAUUACAGGAAGCUUAAUAAAGCCACAAAGAAAGACCACUUCCCACUCUCAUUCAUAGAUCAGAUGUUGGACAGACUUGUUGGAAAACAAUACUAUUGUUUCCUAGAUGGGUAUUCAGGCUACAACCAGAUUGCUAUAGCUCCAGAAGAUAAGGAAAAGACUACAUUUACUUGUCCUUAUGGAACAUUUGCCUUCAGAAGAAUGCUCUUUGGGUUGUGCAAUGCUCCAGCAACUUUUCAGAGAUGCAUGAUGUCUAUUUUUUCUGAUAUGGUAGAACAAACUUUAUAAGUUUUCAUGGAUGACUUUUCAAUUUUUGGAGUGACAUACAAUGAUUGUUUACACAACUUGGAAGAAGUUCUUAAAAGAUGUGAGAUGACUAACUUAGUACUUAAUUGGGAAAAAUGUUAUUUCAUUGGGCAAGAAGAAAUAAUGUUGGGUCAUAAGGUGUCCAAGAAAGCCAUUGAGGUAGACAAAGCCAGGAUAAAGGUAAUAAAUAAACUGCCACCCGCCACUUCAAUAAAGGGUAUAAGGAGUUUUUUGGGCCAUACUGGAUUUUAUAGAAGAUUCAUUAAGGAUUUUUCUAAGGUAGCUAAACCAUUAUGCUCAUUGCUGGAACAUGACAAGCCCUUUCACUUUGACAAAGAUUGUCAUCAAGCAUUUGGAGAAUUAAAGAAAGCUCUGAUCACUGCUCCAGUAGUUAUAUCUUUAGACUGGAUGUUACCAUUUGAAUUGAUGUGUGAUGCUAGUGAUCAUUCUGUUGGAGCAGUAUUAGGGCAAAAAAAGGAUAAGGUUUUUCACUCCAUAUACUAUGCAAGUAAAACUCUUACUCAAACUCAAAUCAAUUACACCACUACAGAGAAAGAGUUGCUAGUAGUAGUAUUUGUUUUUGACAAAUUCAGGGCCUACUUGGUGGGUACUAAAGUGACUGUAUAUACAAACCAUGCAGCCAUCAAAUACUUAAUUUCAAAGAAUGAUGCCAAGCCAAGAUUAAUCAGAUGGAUCUUAUUGCUUCAAGAAUUUGAUCUGAAAAUUAAAGAUAGAAAAGGGACUGAGAAUCAAGUAGCAGACCACCUGUCACGGCUGGAAGCAAAUACAAGUACAUUGACAAGAAAUGACAUCACUGAAACUUUUCCUGAUGAACAGAUGUUGGUAGUACAUCAAGCACAGAUGCUGCAGUCAGGAUCUCCAUGGUAUACAUAUUUUGCUAACUACUUGGAAGUGGAUUGCUACCACCUGAGCUGAAGUUCCAAGAGAAAAAGAAAUUUCUUCAUGAUGUAAGAAGUUAUCAGUGGGAUGACCCACAUUUAUAUAAGCUGUGCUCAGAUCAAGUAAUACGAAGAUGUGCUGCAGAAGGAGAGAUUCCCCACAUACUGGAGUCAUGCCAUGCUGCAGCAUAUGGAGGACAUUUUGGUGGUCACAGAACAGCUGCUAAAGUUUUGCAAUCAGGUUAUUACUAGCCUACCAUUUUUAAAGAUGCUUAUGAAUUUGUUAAAUAUUGUGACAGGUGUCAAAGGACAGGGAACAUAACUAGAAGACAUGAAAUGCCAUUGACCAAUAUUCUAGAAGUGGAAGUUUUUUAUGUAUAGGGAAUAGAUUUUAUGGGACCUUUUCCACCAUCCUUUGGGAACUUGUAUAUCCUUGUUGCUGUGGAUUAUGUCUCCAAGUGGGUAGAGGCUGCAGUAUUACCUACCAAUGAUGCUAAAGCAGUGGUGGUUUUUCUUCAGAAAAAUAUUUUUUCCAGGUUUGGCACUCCUAGAGCAAUUAUUAGUGAUGAGAGUACUCAUUUUUACAACAAAGUCUUUGCUGCAGCUAUGGUAAAAUAUGGAGUCAGACACAAGGUAGCAACAACAUAUCACCCACAGUCCAAUGGUUAGGCUGAAGUGUCCAACAGAGAAAUUAAAAAGAUCUUAGAAAAAAUGGUGAACCCAACAAGGAAGGAUUGGUCUUUGCAAUUACAUGACUCUCUAUGGACCUACAGAACAACAAAAAAACUCCACUUGGCAUGUCUCCUUACCGAAUUGUUUAUGGGAAGGCUUGUCAUUUGCCACUAGAGCUAGAGCAUAACGCACAUUGGGCACUGAAGAAAUUAAAUUGGGACAUUCAUGCUGCAGCAGAGCAAAGAAAGCUUCAACUUUGUGAGCUUGAUGAAUUACGGCUAUUUUCAUAUGAAAAUGCUAGAAUCUAUAAAGAAAGGACAAACCACUGGCACGACAAGCAUAUUCAACACAGACAGUUCAGCCCUGGUCAACUAGUGCUGCUCCGCAAUACAAGACUAAGAUUAUUUUCAGGAAAGCUAAAAUCAUGAUGGUUUGGAAUUUUUAGGCUGUUAAAAUGUUAUCCUCAUGGAGCUGUUGAUCUUUUAGAUGAACAAACAGGUCACAAAUUUAAAGUUAAUGGACACAGGGUUAAGCAUUACAUACACCCAGCAACAGAUUGUUCAAAGGAGGUUUUACUCCUUAAAGAACCCAGCUAUUGAGCAGUGAAAGAAGGUCAGGCUGAAGGACCUUAAAUCAAGCGCUCCAUGAGAGGCAACCCAUUGUGGAGAUAGCCACUUCAAACCAAGUUUGAUCAUCUUUGGUUUUGUUGACGGUUCUCCCUUUCUUCCAUUUUAUUUAAUUUUGUUCUUUAAUUUAAGUUACUUAGUUUUAUCUUUUCACAUUAUUGCAUUUUUUUUAUAUUGCUAUCAUUUGAUCUCUUUAUUUUUAAUUAUAUUUUUAGAAUCGAUUUUAGUUUUUGUGGUAAGUAUGAGUGGCAUUAGAUUUUCAUUUUAACCAGUGGGGUUGUAUGGUGACAGAGUGCAGAGGCAAGCCACGUGUCAAAGAGCAUUGGAGGGACGUAUGUAAUCGUUGCUAGAGCAAGCUGCAACACCUAAUAUUACCAUUACAGUAAAUUAAAAAUUAGAGCCUCUCACUUACCGUUGGAGAUAAAUCAUGAUAGAUGGCGGCAUGGAUUUGGAUAGCAAUUGCGAAGAAAUCUCCGAAAUUAAUGCAUUAAUUUCCCUGGCCUAUGUUUUAGGGAUAUACAUAUUAAAUUCAAAAUAUUUUCUUCCCUUAUUUAUCUGUAGUUACCAGAUUUAUCUUCACUUAAAGUCCACUAUAAAAGGGAGUCACUGUGCGUAGUGAUCUACGGCACUAUUCCCCAUCUCCUUCGCAAAUACAACUCUCAUAAUUCUUAACCUCUUCUUCUCAUUUUACUCUCAGAUUGUUACUGCUAUAGCAAUGCCAAGGUAUAAGAAAAUAGCCAGCCGCCUCAAAGAUCCUUCACGCUUCCAGAGUUACCACGCCGAAGAAAAAUAUGAAGAAUUCGUAAGAUUCUGGAAGAAAAGUGGUUUCAAUUUCCAGAGCGACUCAUCGGAAUUGUGCAAACAAUACACAAUGCUGCAGUAAAGCGUGGAUGGUUGGACUUUUGCAACCACCCUCGAAAUCCUGUGCUACCAGUAGUAAAGGAAUUUUACGCCAAUUUGGUAAGCCCUGAUCAGCACAACAUUUGGGUAAGAAACACACUUGUUCCAUUAGACUCCCGCGUUAUAAAUGCUUUUUAUAAUUUACCUGCUGAAAUUAAUUGUGAGUAUGCCAAGUUGCUUGAUAAAUUGACCCCAAAGAAAUGGAACACCAUCUUCAUAACUCUUACAAUUGAAGGGGCAUCAUGGGCUAACGAGGAAGGGCGUGUAGUUAAUAGGAUAGAUUUGAAACUUAUUGUUAAGGUUGGGUGAAAUUUUUGAAAUCUAGGCUUAUGCCAACCACUCAUACUACUACGGUUUCACAAGAGAGGUUGGUCUUGUUAUAUGUCAUUGUUCGAGGGCUUCUCAUAGAUGUAGGUAGCAUCAUCGAAAAAGAAAUCAGGGAUUGUGCAGUUAAGAAUCAUAAAACUGAUGCUCUACUAUUUCCUUCGCUCAUCACCAGCAUUUGUGUAGUAUCCGGUGUUCGUCUUGACGUGAGAAAUGACCAUAUCAAGAAUGAUGGUGCCUUUACGACACGUACCAUUGAUAGAGUUGUUGGUGAGAGUACUGGAACAACAACUGAACCAACUACUGUAACAAGAGCAAGACGAGUUAUUGGUUUAGAAUAAACAAUUCAGGUGCUCAGCAAAGAUCAGCAGAGGGAAAAUGAUCGGUUUUGGAGCUAUUUACAGCACCUGAACAACCAACUACACUAAUUUGCUCUGUACAUGAAACACACUCACCGGAACUUCCUUGAUUCAUUGCUCCAGCAAUACAAUUU